Callorhinus ursinus (northern fur seal) is the source of this 790-nucleotide non-coding RNA. Lineage: Eukaryota; Metazoa; Chordata; Mammalia; Carnivora; Otariidae. The record is from RefSeq and is a predicted model, not a curated record.
UUGCCCAAGGUCACACAGUGAGUGAAUGGAUAACUUGGAAUGGCCUGAUGACCCCAAAGUCCCUGCUCUGUCACCCUGGCCGUGGCUGGUACAGCCUCCCAAACAUCUGAUGCAAGACUGUAAGAUUUCAGAAGAGCUCCAGAGAAGGGCGGUGGAGUGCAAGAAGGAUGAGAACAUCCGAAUAGGAGUGGAGGGGUAGAACGGGCCUGUUGUAGAGGCAGACAAAGGCCGAGAAAAGAAGUGGUAAAGGUGAAGAGGAUCAUGAGGAAGACCACGGGAUUGAUGUUGUCUGGGAAACGAUGGGUCUGACCACUUACUGCCUCUUUCAUUUGAACAUGAAAGGCCUGGAACUUGAUGCAAUAGGAAGCAUGUCCACUGGAUGCAUGCUGCCUUAUUUGUUGAAUUUGGCAGCAGUGAGCGCCCCCCCCUCCCCAAGUAAAAGACAAGAUACUCAAGUGUCAAGCGCUUACGGGGUCAUCCAUCUUCUUCGGCCUUCCACCCACUGGGCUGGACCACAUGCACCCACUGUUGGAGCCCCUUCUCUGCUCUCUUUUUGUCAUUAUGCUGUUGUCAAUUCCACCGUUUAUUCAGUGAUUAAUCAUCAUUUGGAAGGUUCUGCUGGGAGCUAACAGAAAGGGGAGUAUUCCUGCAGGUGGUUUCUCUCUGAUGAGUCAAAAGUGAUAAUGACUUGCUGCUGGGGCUUUGUCAUGAGGAGGGGAAGAGGGUGCCUUUUUUUUUCUUUUGCGGAAAUGCAUUGGAAUUUUAUAAACCUGGGAAAUAAACUUUAAUU